This 96-nucleotide non-coding RNA is filed under the name Streptomyces albireticuli. RNAcentral describes it as "Glycine sequence". It matches the Rfam family "Glycine riboswitch aptamer". From Rfam's summary of the family: This family represents the bacterial glycine riboswitch. Glycine riboswitches usually consist of two metabolite-binding aptamers domains with similar structures in tandem. Lineage: Bacteria; Bacillati; Actinomycetota; Actinomycetes; Kitasatosporales; Streptomycetaceae. The record is from Rfam by way of RNAcentral.
CGAAUCCGCGCGGGAGAGUUCCAGCCGUCCCGUGCUGGACGCCGAAGGAGCAAGUUCCUCCCUUGAAUCUCUCAGGCCCCGUACCGCGCGGGUGAG